RNAcentral lists this ribosomal RNA (429 nucleotides) under bacterium. RNAcentral describes it as "partial 16S ribosomal RNA". It matches the Rfam family "Bacterial small subunit ribosomal RNA", at positions 355 to 776 of the family's 1533-position model. The record is from RNAcentral.
UAGGGAAUCUUCCACAAUGGACGCAAGUCUGAUGGAGCAACGCCGCGUGAGUGAAGAAGGUUUUCGGAUCGUAAAGCUCUGUUGUUGGUGAAGAAGGAUAGAGGUAGUAACUGGCCUUUAUUUGACGGUAAUCAACCAGAAAGUCACGUCUAACUACGUGCCAGCAGCCGCGGUAAUACGAAGGUGGCAAGCGUUGUCCGGAUUGAUUGGGCGUAACGCGAGCGCAGGCGGAAGAAUAAGUCUGAUGUGAAAGCCCUCGGCUUAACCGAGGAACUGCAUCGGAAACUGUUUUUCUUGAGUGCAGAAGAGGAGAGUGGAAUUCCAUGUGUAGCGAUGGAAUGCGUAGAUAUAUGGAAGAACCCCAGUGGCGAAGGCGACUCUCUGGUCUGCAACUGACGCUGAGGCUCGAAAGCAUGGGUAGCGAACAGG